CCUGCUUGCAUUUGCCACUCCGGGAACACAAACAAAAUCACAGAUUUUUCCAUUUCCUCUUGCUGUUUUCUUUUGCUAAUCUCCUCACUUGCCAAGUCACUUCCAUAAAAGAAAUGGCAACUAAACUCCCCCAAGAACAGGUCAACCAGUUUAAUGAGGCCUUCAAGCUUUUCGAUAAGGACGGCAAUGGUCGGAUCACUACUGGUGAGCUUGGGAGCGUCAUGCGGUCACUGGGGCAAAACCCAACUGAGGCAGAGCUUGUGGAGAUGAUCAAGGAGGUUGAUGCUGAUGGUAGUGGUACCGUCGACUCUUCAGAAUUCCUUAAGUUGAUGGAAAAGAAGAUGAUGGACUCUAAUUUCGAGGAGGAGCUCAGAAAGGCUUUCGAUGUGUUUGACAAUGAUCAAAAUGGCUUCAUUACCGCAGCUGAGCUCCGUCAUGUCAAGGCAAAUCUUGGUGAUAAGCUGACAGAUGAGGAUGUAAAUGAGAUUAUUCUUGAGGCCGAUGCCGAUGGCGAUAAGCAGAUCAACUUUGAUGAGUUCGCCAGAGUCAUGAUGGCCAAAUGGAAUUGGAAUAAAUGUGUGGGCUGCUAAAGUUUGUGGGAAGAAAGAAAAGAACCCAACACGGAUGCCUCAAUUAUUUGCCAAAGUUUGACAAAGAUGGCGAACAAAUUCCCAUCUAUAGUGAUGGGGAAUCUAUCCUUACUGAAACAAAUCACUGUGGAGUCUAAAGAGAACUUUUUUAACAAACCCUUCAUAGAGAAGAGGAAGGCCAGGAGAUGAAGAGAGAAAUGGCUCAGCCAGACACUCAAAGGUCCAUACCAACAAGAAAGGUCAUCGUCUUUGCUCUAUCCUUUAGGUGCGACCAAACUUAUAUAGUCGUGCUCGCUUCGCGUUGUCAUCCAAAUAACUACUCAAGUAUCUAAUAAAGUCCUAAAGUUCUAAAAUAUACUUGGAUUCUGUUUUUGUUUUUAGUUCAACUAUAUAUAGGAAAGUGAAGAAACAUUCUAGGUAAGUUUGGGAAGAUAUACAUACAUACAUACAUAAAUAUAUAUAUAUAUAUAUUAUGACCCCUUGUUUCGUUCCGUUUCUGAUAAUGAGACCCCUUGUUUCUCGUUGUUGAUUCUCGUAAAAACAGAGAUUCCUUAUAUUGGACUCUUGUUUUUAAGUAUGGUUAAUUACUGUUCACUACUAUUAACUACUGUUGAAAUAAUUGUAAAGGUGCUCCUUGAUCUACAAAAGGAGAACCUAGCUUCAUAAGAACAUCAUCUUCUUCUACUAUUAACUACGCCUUUGAGUUUGUUAAGAAACCUAUUUACCCACCUUCAUUAUAAGAUUUUGUAAGUUGUUUUAUUUUGAAUAAACAUGAUUAUUUCUCUUCUA
Molecule: RNA transcript, 1379 nt
Organism: Carya illinoinensis
Lineage: Eukaryota; Viridiplantae; Streptophyta; Magnoliopsida; Fagales; Juglandaceae
Gene name: calmodulin-2/4-like
Exons: 4
Source: RefSeq, a predicted model, not a curated record